GCAAGUCGAACGAUGAACCGGUUUCGGCCGGGGAUUAGUGGCGAACGGGUGAGUAACACGUGGGCAAUCUGCCCUGCACUCUGGGACAAGCCCUGGAAACGGGGUCUAAUACCGGAUACGACGCGUUCCCGCAUGGGAUACGUGUGGAAAGCUCCGGCGGUGCAGGAUGAGCCCGCGGCCUAUCAGCUUGUUGGUGGGGUGAUGGCCUACCAAGGCGACGACGGGUAGCCGGCCUGAGAGGGCGACCGGCCACACUGGGACUGAGACACGGCCCAGACUCCUACGGGAGGCAGCAGUGGGGAAUAUUGCACAAUGGGCGCAAGCCUGAUGCAGCGACGCCGCGUGAGGGAUGACGGCCUUCGGGUUGUAAACCUCUUUCAGCAGGGAAGAAGCGUGAGUGACGGUACCUGCAGAAGAAGCGCCGGCUAACUACGUGCCAGCAGCCGCGGUAAUGCA
Molecule: ribosomal RNA, 456 nt
Filed under: Streptomyces hygroscopicus
Lineage: Bacteria; Bacillati; Actinomycetota; Actinomycetes; Kitasatosporales; Streptomycetaceae
Description: bacterial SSU rRNA
Rfam family: Bacterial small subunit ribosomal RNA
Source: RNAcentral